Molecule: transfer RNA, 74 nt
Filed under: Podarcis lilfordi (Lilford's wall lizard)
Lineage: Eukaryota; Metazoa; Chordata; Lepidosauria; Squamata; Lacertidae
Rfam family: tRNA
About the family: Transfer RNA (tRNA) molecules are approximately 80 nucleotides in length. Their secondary structure includes four short double-helical elements and three loops (D, anti-codon, and T loops). Further hydrogen bonds mediate the characteristic L-shaped molecular structure. tRNAs have two regions of fundamental functional importance: the anti-codon, which is responsible for specific mRNA codon recognition, and the 3' end, to which the tRNAs corresponding amino acid is attached (by aminoacyl-tRNA synthetases). tRNAs cope with the degeneracy of the genetic code in two manners: having more than one tRNA (with a specific anti-codon) for a particular amino acid; and 'wobble' base-pairing, i.e. permitting non-standard base-pairing at the 3rd anti-codon position.
Source: Rfam by way of RNAcentral
GUCUGGAUAGCUCAGUUAGUUAGAGCAUGGUGCUGAUAACGCCAAGGUUGCAGGUUCAAUCUCUGUAUAGGACA